UACGUAGGGGGCAAGCGUUGUCCGGAAUCAUUGGGCGUAAAGCGCGUGUAGGCGGGUCGGUAAGUCCGCUCUGAAAGCCCGGGGCUCAACCCCGGGAGGCGGGUGGAUACUGUCGACCUCGAGUCCGGAAGAGGCGAGUGGAAUUCCUGGUGUAGCGGUGAAAUGCGCAGAUAUCAGGAGGAACACCAAUGGCGAAGGCAGCUCGCUGGGACGGUACUGACGCUGAGGCACGAAAGCGUGGGGAGCAAACAGG
RNAcentral lists this ribosomal RNA (253 nucleotides) under uncultured bacterium. RNAcentral's name for it is "partial 16S ribosomal RNA". It matches the Rfam family "Bacterial small subunit ribosomal RNA", at positions 524 to 776 of the family's 1533-position model. The record is from RNAcentral.